CCUACGGGAGGCAGCAGUGAGGAAUAUUGGUCAAUGGACGAGAGUCUGAACCAGCCAAGUAGCGUGAAGGAUGACUGCCCUAUGGGUUGUAAACUUCUUUUAUAUGGGAAUAAAAUGUUCCACGUGUGGGUUUUUGUAUGUACCAUCUGAAUAAGGAUCGGCUAACUCCGUGCCAGCAGCCGCGGUAAUACGGAGGAUCCGAUCGUUAGCCGGAUUUAUUGGGUUUAAAGGGAGCGUAGGUGGAUUGUUAAGUCAGUUGUGAAAGUUUGCGGCUCAACCGUAAAAUUGCAGUUGAAACUGGCAGUCUUGAGUACAGUAGAGGUAGGCGGAAUUCGUGGUGUAGCGGUGAAAUGCUUAGAUAUCACGAAGAACUCCGAUUGCGAAGGCAGCUUACUGGACUGCAACUGACACUGAGGCUCGAAAGUGUGGGUAUCAAACAGGAUUAGAUACCCGAGUAGUC
RNAcentral lists this ribosomal RNA (460 nucleotides) under uncultured bacterium. RNAcentral's name for it is "partial 16S ribosomal RNA". It matches the Rfam family "Bacterial small subunit ribosomal RNA", at positions 338 to 795 of the family's 1533-position model. The record is from RNAcentral.